UGCCAGCAGCCGCGGUAAUACGAAGGUCCCAAGCGUUGUUCGGAAUAACUGGGCGUAAAGCGUGUGUAGGCUGCGCGGAAAGUCAAAUGUGAAAGCCAAGGGCUCAACCCUUGAACUGCAUUCGAUACUCCCGUGCUAGAGUAAUGGAGAGGUAAGUGGAAUUCCUGGUGUAGCAGUGAAAUGCGUGGAUAUCAGGAGGAACAUCAAUGGCGAAGGCAACUUACUGGACAUUUACUGACGCUCAUGGACGAAAGCCAGGGGAGCGAAAGGGAUUAGAUA
This 279-nucleotide ribosomal RNA is filed under the name uncultured bacterium. RNAcentral describes it as "partial 16S ribosomal RNA". It matches the Rfam family "Bacterial small subunit ribosomal RNA", at positions 506 to 784 of the family's 1533-position model. The record is from RNAcentral.